This is a long non-coding RNA of Oryzias latipes (Japanese medaka), 314 nucleotides long. RefSeq lists it as uncharacterized. Lineage: Eukaryota; Metazoa; Chordata; Actinopteri; Beloniformes; Adrianichthyidae. The record is from RefSeq and is a predicted model, not a curated record.
GGUACCCCCUGCUGGCCCCGCCUCCUCAUCAGGUUCACCUGAGGACUCCAGCUGCGCUUCAUCAUCUUCAUCAGCCGGGGGACUCUUAAGGAGAACCAGGACCCUUACUCGACGCUAGUUCGUUGUACUCCACGGAUCACGAUCACGCCUGUCACGUUCUGGACUCCGACUCACCUUCGCUCUGGUCCCUCCUCGUCGCCCCUCUGGACAUCCUUCUGGAAACGCGGUGUUCGCCGCCAAGACCCUCCAACCAUCCACAAAACAUCCUCUCUUGGAACUCUGUCAUUCCUCCAUUAAAUCCUUUACUACUCGUC